RNAcentral lists this ribosomal RNA (253 nucleotides) under uncultured bacterium. RNAcentral describes it as "partial 16S ribosomal RNA". It matches the Rfam family "Bacterial small subunit ribosomal RNA", at positions 524 to 776 of the family's 1533-position model. The record is from RNAcentral.
UACGGGGGGAGCAAGCGUUGUUCGGAUUUACUGGGCGUAAAGGGCGCGUAGGCGGCCAGCACAAGUCAGUUGUGAAAUCUCCGAGCUUAACUCGGAAAGGUCAACUGAUACUGUGCGGCUAGAGUGCGGAAGGGGCAACUGGAAUUCUUGGUGUAGCGGUGAAAUGCGUAGAUAUCAAGAGGAACACCUGCGGCGAAGGCGGGUUGCUGGGCCGACACUGACGCUGAUGCGCGAAAGCUAGGGAGCAAACAGG